GAUGAACGCUGGCGGCGUGCCUAAUACAUGCAAGUCGAGCGAAGCGGGGACGGGUGAGUAACACGUGGAUAACCUCCUAUAAGACUGGGCUAACUUCGGGAAACCGGAGCUCAUCCGGAUACUUAUCAAUGGAUCCACGCUGCAUUAGCUAGUGGGUAAGGUAACGGCUUACCAAGGAAACGAUGGAUAGCCGACCUGAGAGGUUUAUCGGACACACUGGAACUGAGACACGGUCCAGACUCCUACGGGAGGCAGCAGUGGGGAAUCAGCCGCAAUGGGCGAAAUCCUGACGGAGCAACGCCGCGUGAGUGAUGAAGGUCUACGGAUCGGAAAACUCUGUUAUUAGGGAAGCGGUACCUAAUCAGAAAGCCACGGCGAACUACGUGCCAGCAGCCGCGGUAAUUC
RNAcentral lists this ribosomal RNA (405 nucleotides) under uncultured bacterium. RNAcentral describes it as "partial 16S ribosomal RNA". It matches the Rfam family "Bacterial small subunit ribosomal RNA", at positions 28 to 526 of the family's 1533-position model. The record is from RNAcentral.